This 382-nucleotide ribosomal RNA is filed under the name uncultured bacterium. RNAcentral's name for it is "bacterial SSU rRNA". It matches the Rfam family "Bacterial small subunit ribosomal RNA", at positions 1002 to 1384 of the family's 1533-position model. The record is from RNAcentral.
UAUGUAAUGUACCUCUCUUCGGAGCAUCGGUGACAGGUGGUGCAUGGUUGUCGUCAGCUCGUGUCGUGAGAUGUUGGGUUAAGUCCCGCAACGAGCGCAACCCCUGUCCUUAGUAGCCAGCAGUUCGGCUGGGCACUCUAGGGAGACUGCCAGGGAUAACCUGGAGGAAGGCGGGGAUGACGUCAAAUCAUCAUGCCCCUUAUGACUUGGGCUACACACGUGCUACAAUGGCGUAAACAAAGGGAAGCGGAGCCGCGAGGCCGAGCAAAUCUCAAAAAUAACGUCUCAGUUCGGACUGUAGUCUGCAACCCGACUACACGAAGCUGGAAUCGCUAGUAAUCGCAGAUCAGAAUGCUGCGGUGAAUACGUUCCCGGGUCUUGU